AAAACAGAUCUGUGAUGAUGAAACAGAUCCAGUCAGACGGGAGGAGACGUGCUGCAGGAGAAUGGAACCGCUACCAGCCAAACUCCGGCCAACUGGACUGAAUACAGUUUUUGACCGGCUUGAGUGAUGGGACUCACGAAGACCUCUACUAUGUCAAGAUAUUUCACCGGGUGAUGGAAAACUCCGACCUGAUGAUGGCGCUUGAUGACAGACAUGGAUGACAUGGAUUCACUCAAGCCAUGGAGAUUCAUCGUCUGGUGGCUUUGAGAAUAGCUCUGCAGAUUUGCAUGGCAAUCCAACCCAACACUUGAGUCUGGACCAGUAAUGACCAUGCGACCGCUCAUCAGCACAGCAUCUUACUCUGAAUCCAACAACAACAGCUCCUGACCGACUGCCCUCCCUCACCCACUCAUGUCUCCAGUGCAUCACAGUGCCAGUGAUCCCGAUGGAGGCAUUGCAGCGUUUAUUCAGUGUUGCGAACUAAUGUAUUCCGUGUACAUUACUAUAGAAAUGCGUGGCUUACUUUUCAAGGAGUGGGCGGUGACAUUUUCCCACUGGAGCCACUGAAGCUAUACAAACUUGUUGCUCAGAACGCUCAUAGCUACUGUCAGUUGUACUGCAGGAAAUGUCUUGGUUCAUCUGUGCUACGACCAUUCUUUAUAGAAACAAACCUGGAGACACAUGUAAUGACACCGUUUCGCUCACUUAAAGGUGCUCCGUGUAGAUGUGGUGAGGACAUUUUACUCAGAAGAGAAAGAUCUCCAUUGACUGAUUUUGAUGUCAUUACAAACUAAAUUCAACUAUUUUCAUGACUGAAUAAACAAACUGACCUUAAAGGACAACACAAUUUCACACUGUUUUACUUUGUUUAUAUUUGGCAGACCCUGC
Long non-coding RNA from Acanthopagrus latus (yellowfin seabream), 888 nucleotides. RefSeq lists it as uncharacterized. The record is from RefSeq and is a predicted model, not a curated record. NCBI's taxonomy places the organism in Eukaryota, Metazoa, Chordata, Actinopteri, Spariformes, Sparidae. The transcript has 3 exons.